This is a transfer RNA of Gloeobacter violaceus PCC 7421, 81 nucleotides long. It matches the Rfam family "tRNA". Rfam says of the family: Transfer RNA (tRNA) molecules are approximately 80 nucleotides in length. Their secondary structure includes four short double-helical elements and three loops (D, anti-codon, and T loops). Further hydrogen bonds mediate the characteristic L-shaped molecular structure. tRNAs have two regions of fundamental functional importance: the anti-codon, which is responsible for specific mRNA codon recognition, and the 3' end, to which the tRNAs corresponding amino acid is attached (by aminoacyl-tRNA synthetases). tRNAs cope with the degeneracy of the genetic code in two manners: having more than one tRNA (with a specific anti-codon) for a particular amino acid; and 'wobble' base-pairing, i.e. permitting non-standard base-pairing at the 3rd anti-codon position. Lineage: Bacteria; Bacillati; Cyanobacteriota; Cyanophyceae; Gloeobacterales; Gloeobacteraceae. The record is from Rfam.
GCGGACGUGGUGGAAUGGUAGACACGCCGGUCUUAGGAACCUGUGGGGCAACCCGUGGGAGUUCGAAUCUCCCCGUCCGCA